This 1058-nucleotide ribosomal RNA is filed under the name uncultured fungus. RNAcentral describes it as "eukaryotic LSU rRNA". The stretch from base 475 to 1058 matches the Rfam family "Eukaryotic large subunit ribosomal RNA", at positions 1 to 595 of the family's 3401-position model. The record is from RNAcentral. Lineage: Eukaryota; Fungi.
AGGGAUCAUUAUAGAGUUUUCUAAACUCCCAACCCAUGUGGACUUACCUUUUGUUGCCUCGGCAGAAGUUAUAGGUCUUCUUAUAGCUGCUGCCGGUGGACCAUUAAACUCUUGUUAUUUUAUGUAAUCUGAGCGUCUUAUUUUAAUAAGUCAAAACUUUCAACAACGGAUCUCUUGGUUCUGGCAUCGAUGAAGAACGCAGCGAAAUGCGAUAAGUAAUGUGAAUUGCAGAAUUCAGUGAAUCAUCGAAUCUUUGAACGCACAUUGCGCCCAUUAGUAUUCUAGUGGGCAUGCCUGUUCGAGCGUCAUUUCAACCCUUAAGCCUAGCUUAGUGUUGGGAAUCUACUUCUCUUAGGAGUUGUAGUUCCUGAAAUACAACGGCGGAUUUGUAGUAUCCUCUGAGCGUAGUAAUUUUUUUCUCGCUUUUGUUAGGUGCUAUAACUCCCAGCCGCUAAACCCCCAAUUUUUUGUGGUUGACCUCGGAUCAGGUAGGAAUACCCGCUGAACUUAAGCAUAUCAAUAAGCGGAGGAAAAGAAACCAACAGGGAUUGCCUUAGUAACGGCGAGUGAAGCGGCAACAGCUCAAAUUUGAAAUCUGGCCCUUGGGUCCGAAUUGUAAUUUGUAGAGGAUGAUUUUGGUGCGGUAUCUUCCGAGUUCCUUGGAACAGGACGCCUUAGAGGGUGAGAGCCCCGUACGGUUGAAUGCCUAGCCUCUGUAAAUCUCCUUCGACGAGUCGAGUAGUUUGGGAAUGCUGCUCUAAAUGGGAGGUAAAUUUCUUCUAAAGCUAAAUAUUGGCCAGAGACCGAUAGCGCACAAGUAGAGUGAUCGAAAGAUGAAAAGCACUUUGAAAAGAGGGUUAAAUAGCACGUGAAAUUGUUGAAAGGGAAGGAUUUGUGACCAGACUUUUUCUGGGCGGAUCAUCCGGGGUUCUCUCCGGUGCACUUCGCCCAGUAAAGGCCAGCAUCGGUUUUCGGCGUGGGAUAAAAGCAGUAGGAAUGUGGCUCUCUANCGGGGAGUGUUAUAGCCUAUUGUAUAAUACCGCGCUGGGGACCGAGGU